UACGAAGGGGGCUAGCGUUGCUCGGAAUCACUGGGCGUAAAGGGCGCGUAGGCGGCCAUUCAAGUCAGAGGUGAAAGCCCAAGGCUCAACCUUGGAACUGCCUUUGAUACUGUUUGGCUUGAGACCGGUAGAGGUAAGUGGAACUGCGAGUGUAGAGGUGAAAUUCGUAGAUAUUCGCAAGAACACCAGUGGCGAAGGCGGCAUCCUGGACCGACAUUGACGCUGAGGCGCGAAAGCCAGGGGAGCAAACGGG
RNAcentral lists this ribosomal RNA (253 nucleotides) under uncultured bacterium. RNAcentral's name for it is "partial 16S ribosomal RNA". It matches the Rfam family "Bacterial small subunit ribosomal RNA", at positions 524 to 776 of the family's 1533-position model. The record is from RNAcentral.